Molecule: ribosomal RNA, 501 nt
Filed under: uncultured bacterium
Lineage: Bacteria
Description: partial 16S ribosomal RNA
Rfam family: Bacterial small subunit ribosomal RNA
Source: RNAcentral
AUUGAACGCUGGCGGCAGGCUUAACACAUGCAAGUCGAGCGGGGAAAGGUAGCUUGCUACCUGACCUAGCGGCGGACGGGUGAGUAAUGCUUAGGAAUCUGCCUAUUAGUGGGGGACAACAUUCCGAAAGGAAUGCUAAUACCGCAUACGCCCUACGGGGGAAAGCAGGGGAUCUUCGGACCUUGCGCUAAUGGAUGAGCCUAAGUCAGAUUAGCUAGUUGGUGGGGUAAAGGCCUACCAAGGCGACGAUCUGUAGCGGGUCUGAGAGGAUGAUCAGCCACACUGGGACUGAGACACGGCCCAGACUCCUACGGGAGGCAGCAGUGGGGAAUAUUGGACAAUGGGCGAAAGCCUGAUCCAGCCAUGCCGCGUGUGUGAAGAAGGCCUUUUGGUUGUAAAGCACUUUAAGCGAGGAGGAGGCUACUUGGAUUAAUACUCUAGGAUAGUGGACGUUACUCGCAGAAUAAGCACCGGCUAACUCUGUGCCAGCAGCCGCCGUAA